Molecule: long non-coding RNA, 656 nt
Filed under: Homo sapiens (human)
Lineage: Eukaryota; Metazoa; Chordata; Mammalia; Primates; Hominidae
Description: novel transcript, antisense to WDR91
Source: RNAcentral
CUGAGCAGCCACAUCACAGUCCAGGAGGUGCCGCUUCCACAUUUUGUGCUGCUACAUGUAUGCCGUGCUCUACAUGGGUCACAGGGGGAUUCUGCCUUGGAAGCAAAGCAACAGUAAAGAGUGCUCAAUCAAUUGGUGAAUAUUGAUGGAAGGAGGAGGCUUCGAAUUCCUCUGGCUUAUUUGAAAGCCACUUGUAACACUUCCCCAGCAGGAGCAAACAAUAAAACACUGAGAAGUACAAAGGAAUAAUGCUAUGAACGUUUCAGUAAUAAUGACAACAGGUACAGCAACCAAUUACAAGGAGGCAAAGUGCUGAUGAACUGGAAGAAAAUCUAUUUUGGGAUCAAAGAGCUCCUUCCACCAAGGGAAGCAGAACCCCUGAAUCAACAGGCACCUGGAUUGUGUAGACAAGAUAAAAUCGAAACAGGCUGGUUUUCAGCUUGUGGAUUGUGGGUCUGUAUAUAUCCUCCAAGCGGCUGAAGAGCCGACGCUCCAAGUAGCUCCAAUAAUCCCGAAGGGCAGCCAAGUCAUACACCUGCAUUAACUGCUGCAGCUGGUCCACAAUCUUAUCCACCUGGCGAGAAACAUGGAUGGAGAAGGUGGUAAGGGACAGAAGGGAAUUCUCCCCUCCAUGGAAUAAAGCUUUUUCCUCUUGU